Cyprinus carpio (common carp) is the source of this 885-nucleotide long non-coding RNA. RefSeq lists it as uncharacterized. The transcript has 3 exons. NCBI's taxonomy places the organism in Eukaryota, Metazoa, Chordata, Actinopteri, Cypriniformes, Cyprinidae. The record is from RefSeq and is a predicted model, not a curated record.
UUUACAAUCCCCAAGUCUAUUUAUUUUUUAUUUUAACUAUUUAGUUUAGUGUGCAAUGCAAUUUCAACUCAAUCGAACAUGCUUUUAUUGACGUUAAGUCUGUCACUAAACAACACAGGAGCACUCGAUCCAGCGGUUGCUACGGGAGAAAGCUGCAGCUGGUCAGAAUGGUCAUGUUGACCAGUGAAAAGGUGGAGUUAUUACGCUGGACAGAGUCCAAACAAAAGCUCCAGCAAACCCCCUUCAUCCUUCCUCUGCUCUCAGCGAAUUAUCCUCUCUUCUCUUUUGUUUUCAGCCGCCUGUAACCCACUGAUGCCCAAAAUCCCUGCAUGGAUGUUGAGCGAGAUGCUGGGAAGCAUGCAGGAAUCUCUUGGGAUUUCCUACAUGUUUAGUGUUUCCACGCUGACAUACCCUAACAGACUUUAUGGACCUGCAAUUGAAAGGAUGGCUGGCAGUUCAAUGCUGCAGUCUCCUACAGCGAGGUCUUGCGCUAAUAUCAACAUCGAUGGUAAAUAUUACAUACCUUGAACAGCCACCUGAGACCGGCAUGAAGUUCAUUGCGCAGCUCGUUUCCGCAGUCUGUAAUAUCCAAACACAGCUUAGAUGAGAAAUCUACAGUUAGUGGAGAGACCAGUCAUUCUGUGAGACUCUGAGUGAGACGGAUGGCUAUUAGGCCUUAUUCAGAAUCAUCUGAACAGGAAAUACAUUUCAAAAUGGGUUGUAAUGAGAUUAAAAACGGAUUUUUUUUUUCUUUAUAUGUGUCUCAGCCUGAAUUAUCAGAUUCGAUUUCAUGUCAGUUUUUUGUCCUUCAUUAUGUGACAAAUUGUGUCAGGUGCUGCAUCUUCAUUAAAACAUUGCAUUUGCAGUUCGCAAUAAAAUCAAACU